GACGAACGCUGGCGGCGUGCUUAAUACAUGCAAGUCGAACGGAAACGCCCUGCUUUUGUGGGCUGCUCGAGUGGCGCACGGGUGCGUAACACGUGAGUAACCUGCCCUUGACUUUGGGAUAACUUCAGGCCACUGGGGCUCAUACUGGAUAGCAGCUCCUGCUGCAUGAUGCGGGUUGGAAAGUUUCGGCGGUGGGGGAUGGGCUCGCGGCGUAUCUGCUUGUUGGUGGGGUAGUGGCUUACCAAGGAGUUGACGGGUAGCCGGACUGAGAGGGGGACCGGGCACAUUGGGACUGUGAUACGGGCGAGACUACUACGGGAGGCAGCAGUGGGGAAGAAUGCACGAUGGGCGGAAGCCGGAUGCAGCAACGCCGUGUGCGGGAUGGCGGACUUCGUGUUGUAAACCGCUUUCGCCUGUGAUGUAGCGUGAGUGACGGUAAUGGGUAAAGAAGCACCGGCUAACUACGUG
RNAcentral lists this ribosomal RNA (468 nucleotides) under uncultured bacterium. Its description in RNAcentral is "partial 16S ribosomal RNA". It matches the Rfam family "Bacterial small subunit ribosomal RNA", at positions 28 to 507 of the family's 1533-position model. The record is from RNAcentral.